CCGCUCCAGCGUCCGCACCAUGGCCCUGGCUGAGGUAGUAGUUUGUGCUGUUGGUCGGGUUGUGACAUUGCCCGCUGUGGAGAUAACUGCGCAAGCUACUGCCUUGCUAGUGCUGGUGAUGAUCAGCCGCGGGUGAAGACAAUGGCCCGG
Sarcophilus harrisii (Tasmanian devil) is the source of this 150-nucleotide microRNA precursor. Ensembl annotates it as sha-let-7i. Its record names the gene sha-let-7i. NCBI's taxonomy places the organism in Eukaryota, Metazoa, Chordata, Mammalia, Dasyuromorphia, Dasyuridae. The record is from Ensembl.